AUGUAGAAUUUCUUCGGAAAGGAAGCGCCUGUGACUGAGUGGCGGACGGGUGAGUAACGCGUGGGCAACCUGCCCCAUACCGGGGGACAACAGCUGGAAACGGCUGCUAAUACCGCAUACGUUUUCGGUGCCGCAUGGUGCUGAAAAGAAAACUCCGGUGGUAUGGGAUGGGCCCGCGUCUGAUUAGCUAGUUGGGAGGGUAACGGCCUACCAAGGCGACGAUCAGUAGCCGGCCUGAGAGGGCGACCGGCCACAUUGGGACUGAGACACGGCCCAGACUCCUGCGGGAGGCAGCAGUGGGGAAUAUUGCACAAUGGGGGAAACCCUGAUGCAGCGACGCCGCGUGAGCGAAGAAGUACCUCGGUAUGUAAAGCUCUAUCAGCAGGGAAGAAAGUGACAGUACCUGACUAAGAAGCCCCGGCUAACUACGUGCCAGCAGCCGCGGUAAUACGUAGGGGGCAAGCGUUAUCCGGAUUCACUGGGCGUAAAGGGAGCGCAGGCGGCGCGGCAAGUCUGAUGUGAAAGCUCGGGGCUCAACCCCGGGUCUGCAUUGGAAACUGUCGAGCUAGAGUGUCGGAGGGGUAAGCGGAAUUCCUAGUGUAGCGGUGAAAUGCGUAGAUAUUAGGAGGAACACCAGUGGCGAAGGCGGCUUACUGGACGAUGACUGACGCUAAGGCUCGAAAG
Molecule: ribosomal RNA, 684 nt
Filed under: uncultured bacterium
Lineage: Bacteria
Description: bacterial SSU rRNA
Rfam family: Bacterial small subunit ribosomal RNA
Source: RNAcentral